This 462-nucleotide ribosomal RNA is filed under the name uncultured bacterium. RNAcentral describes it as "partial 16S ribosomal RNA". It matches the Rfam family "Bacterial small subunit ribosomal RNA", at positions 28 to 505 of the family's 1533-position model. The record is from RNAcentral.
GACGAACGCUGGCGGCGUGCUUAACACAUGCAAGUCGAACGGAAAGGCCCUGCUUGCAGGGUACUCGAGUGGCGAACGGGUGAGUAACACGUGGGUGAUCUGCCCUGCACUUCGGGAUAAGCCUGGGAAACUGGGUCUAAUACCGGAUAGGAGCCAUUUUUAGUGUGAUGGUUGGAAAGUUUUUUCGGUGUAGGAUGAGCUCGCGGCCUAUCAGCUUGUUGGUGGGGUAAUGGCCUACCAAGGCGGCGACGGGUAGCCGGCCUGAGAGGGUGGACGGCCACAUUGGGACUGAGAUACGGCCCAGACUCCUACGGGAGGCAGCAGUGGGGAAUAUUGCACAAUGGGCGCAAGCCUGAUGCAGCGACGCCGCGUGGGGGAUGACGGCCUUCGGGUUGUAAACUCCUUUCGCUAGGGACGAAGCUUUUGUGACGGUACCUAGAUAAGAAGCACCGGCUAACUACG